RNAcentral lists this ribosomal RNA (253 nucleotides) under uncultured bacterium. Its description in RNAcentral is "partial 16S ribosomal RNA". It matches the Rfam family "Bacterial small subunit ribosomal RNA", at positions 524 to 776 of the family's 1533-position model. The record is from RNAcentral.
UACGUAGGGUGCGAGCGUUAAUCGGAAUUACUGGGCGUAAAGGGCGCGUAGGCGGCCUUCUAAGUCGAACGUGAAAUCCCCGGGCUCAACCCGGGAACUGCGUCCGAUACUGGGAGGCUUGAAUCCGGGAGAGGGAUGUGGAAUUCCAGGUGUAGCGGUGAAAUGCGUAGAUAUCUGGAGGAAUACCGGUGGCGAAGGCGGCAUCCUGGACCGACAUUGACGCUGAUGAGCGAAAGCUAGGGGAGCAAACGGG